RNAcentral lists this transfer RNA (68 nucleotides) under bovine gut metagenome. It matches the Rfam family "tRNA". From Rfam's summary of the family: Transfer RNA (tRNA) molecules are approximately 80 nucleotides in length. Their secondary structure includes four short double-helical elements and three loops (D, anti-codon, and T loops). The record is from RNAcentral.
GGAGUUAGCUCAGCUGGAUAGAGCGUCUGGCUACGGACCAGAAGGUCGGGGGUUCGAAUCCUCUACUC